Suricata suricatta (meerkat) is the source of this 250-nucleotide long non-coding RNA. RefSeq lists it as uncharacterized. The transcript has 3 exons. The record is from RefSeq and is a predicted model, not a curated record. Lineage: Eukaryota; Metazoa; Chordata; Mammalia; Carnivora; Herpestidae.
UGUCAGAGAGCAGGGGCAGAGUGAAGGGACCCUGUUCUUUCUCCCUCAGAAGCCCCAGCUCAACAAACUUCAUGAGGCAACAAACUUUGCUUCAUGUCACAGGUCCACAGAGCUCCCAAGGGACUUUUGGGGACACCUGUCACUCACAGGGUGACAGCCCCAGGCUGUUAAGUGACUGCGGCCUGAUCAUCUCCCAGACGUCCAGCCAGCAGCAGGGCCACAGCCACGGGCCAGCCAGCGGAUGCGUGUG